RNAcentral lists this ribosomal RNA (500 nucleotides) under uncultured bacterium. RNAcentral describes it as "partial 16S ribosomal RNA". It matches the Rfam family "Bacterial small subunit ribosomal RNA", at positions 30 to 523 of the family's 1533-position model. The record is from RNAcentral.
AUUGAACGCUGGCGGCAUGCCUUACACAUGCAAGUCGAACGGCAGCACGGACUUCGGUCUGGUGGCGAGUGGCGAACGGGUGAGUAAUGUAUCGGAACGUACCCUUCAGUGGGGGAUAACUAUCCGAAAGGAUAGCUAAUACCGCAUAUUCUCUGAGGAGGAAAGCGGGGGAUCGCAAGACCUCGCGCUGAUGGAGCGGCCGAUAUCAGAUUAGCUAGUUGGUGGGGUAAAGGCCUACCAAGGCGACGAUCUGUAGCGGGUCUGAGAGGAUGAUCCGCCACACUGGGACUGAGACACGGCCCAGACUCCUACGGGAGGCAGCAGUGGGGAAUUUUGGACAAUGGGGGCAACCCUGAUCCAGCCAUGCCGCGUGAGUGAAGAAGGCCUUCGGGUUGUAAAGCUCUUUCGGCCGGGAAGAAAUCGCGUGAGUUAAUACCUUGCGUGGAUGACGGUACCGGAAUAAGAAGCACCGGCUAACUACGUACCAGCAGCCGCAGUAA